This 497-nucleotide ribosomal RNA is filed under the name uncultured bacterium. Its description in RNAcentral is "partial 16S ribosomal RNA". It matches the Rfam family "Bacterial small subunit ribosomal RNA", at positions 28 to 507 of the family's 1533-position model. The record is from RNAcentral.
GAUGAACGCUGGCGGCGUGCCUAAUACAUGCAAGUCGAGCGAACGGACGAGAAGCUUGCUUCUCUGAUGUUAGCGGCGGACGGGUGAGUAACACGUGGAUAACCUACCUAUAAGACUGGGAUAACUUCGGGAGACCGUAGCUAAUACCGGAUAAUAUUUUGAACCGCAUGGUUCAAAAGUGAAAGACGGUCUUGCUGUCACUUAUAGAUGGAUCCGCGCUGCAUUAGCUAGUUGGUAAGGUAACGGCUUACCAAGGCAACGAUGCAUAGCCGACCUGAGAGGGUGAUCGGCCACACUGGAACUGAGACACGGUCCAGACUCCUACGGGAGGCAGCAGUAGGGAAUCUUCCGCAAUGGGCGAAAGCCUGACGGAGCAACGCCGCGUGAGUGAUGAAGGUCUUCGGAUCGUAAAACUCUGUUAUUAGGGAAGAACAUAUGUGUAAGUAACUGUGCACAUCUUGACGGUACCUAAUCAGAAAGCCACGGCUAACUACGUA